AUUGAACGCUGGCGGCAGGCCUAACACAUGCAAGUCGAGCGGCAGCGGGAAAGUAGCUUGCUACUUUUGCCGGCGAGCGGCGGACGGGUGAGUAAUGCCUGGGAAAUUGCCCAGUCGAGGGGGAUAACAGUUGGAAACGACUGCUAAUACCGCAUACGCCCUACGGGGGAAAGCAGGGGACCUUCGGGCCUUGCGCGAUUGGAUAUGCCCAGGUGGGAUUAGCUUGUUGGUGAGGUAAUGGCUCACCAAGGCGACGAUCCCUAGCUGGUCUGAGAGGAUGAUCAGCCACACUGGAACUGAGACACGGUCCAGACUCCUACGGGAGGCAGCAGUGGGGAAUAUUGCACAAUGGGGGAAACCCUGAUGCAGCCAUGCCGCGUGUGUG
This 385-nucleotide ribosomal RNA is filed under the name uncultured bacterium. Its description in RNAcentral is "bacterial SSU rRNA". It matches the Rfam family "Bacterial small subunit ribosomal RNA", at positions 30 to 407 of the family's 1533-position model. The record is from RNAcentral.